Molecule: unclassified non-coding RNA, 254 nt
Filed under: plant metagenome
Description: partial contains small subunit ribosomal RNA, internal transcribed spacer 1, and 5.8S ribosomal RNA
Rfam family: 5.8S ribosomal RNA (bases 206-254)
Source: RNAcentral
UUUCCGUAGGUGAACCUGCGGAAGAAUCAUUAUCAUGAAUCCAUGUUUAACAACUUUGUGAAAAUGUAUUGAAGUCCAAACUGGGUGGCUUUUCGGGGGUAAAAUCCUGCAAAACCAUUUGGCUUGGCAAAUUUAAACCUUUUGAAUUUUGACUAACGUGUCUCUACCCCGUAAAACGGGAUUGACAAAAUAAAAAAUUAAAAACAACUCUUAGCAACGGAUAUCUCGGCUCUCGCAUCAAUGAAGAACGCAGC